ACGGUCGGAAAUGUGACCGGAUUCCUCCCAUAAGCCGACGGCGACACAACACAGUUAAAAUGUAGGAGUUAUACUCCGUGGACAGGGUUGUUACCUUCGCUGAUGCUGUCGUCUUCAACAUUGUCAUCGCCGCCACCACGACGACGACAAAUCGCUGACCCCCUCCAUUCGCCGCCUGCCGCCAUCUUUGACAGUUUAAAUCAGGAAUGUAACUGACGUCAAAAGCCUGGCAGUGGUUCUUAUCAGCGCGGUUCCGCUGGGGGAGCUUCGAACUGUGGCUCCGCGCGGUCCUAAUGCCCCUCGUCAACUGAGACCUUUGGAGCUCUGUUCCGAAAUCAAAGCGAAAAAGGCAACUCAAAACUCACGUCGAACAGGGAGCUGCUGAAUGCUGGAAAUCUGCAACCGAAACAGAAAUCAACAGUUCAAAAGUGAGAACAUUCACUGAAGAUUGGAUGAUAUUCAGUAUCAUUUUCAGCGCCUCAGAUACUGAAGCAAUCUCAGUCCAUAUGCAGCAAGACUGGGCAAUAUUCAGACCUGCACUGACAACCAGCAAGUAACAUCCAGGCCACACAAAUGUCAGAAUAAGGAUGUCACUGGUAUUUAUUGUACAUCUCUAAUUGUUCCAGAGAAGAUUGCGCCUUAGAUUCCUGGAGCCGGUCUUUGAAGUUUAGUCAGCAGAUAAUACCAGCAGUUGGAACAGGGAUGCCAGCCACCAGCAGCCAGAGAGGGGAUGUCGGCGACCAGUGAUCCAGUGCAGAGUGCGUUGGCAGCCAGCAGUCAGACCGCAUGGAGGCCCCCUAUGUUGGACUGCUGCCGAGAGCCUUUGGAAAGAGACUGUGAUGUUUGUCUUUUUAACUUUAUGUUUUUCUGACCUAUGGUUAUACUGUAUAUAGCUGUAAGGUAACUUUCGUUUUUUCAUUUCCCUAUUCUGUAACUAAGGAUUGUGCCUGGAUACCUUUUUGAGAUGAUGCUGUAAGUGGAGACUUAUAAACCUUUCACUGUGCUCAUUUGAGUACAUGUGACAAUAAAGCUAAUUCAU
This is a non-coding RNA of Chiloscyllium plagiosum (whitespotted bambooshark), 1039 nucleotides long. The record is from RefSeq and is a predicted model, not a curated record. NCBI's taxonomy places the organism in Eukaryota, Metazoa, Chordata, Chondrichthyes, Orectolobiformes, Hemiscylliidae.